This 1663-nucleotide non-coding RNA is filed under the name Saccharomyces cerevisiae (brewer's yeast). RNAcentral's name for it is "ribosomal RNA". It matches the Rfam family "Bacterial small subunit ribosomal RNA". Lineage: Eukaryota; Fungi; Ascomycota; Saccharomycetes; Saccharomycetales; Saccharomycetaceae. The record is from RNAcentral.
UUUUAUAAGAAUAUGAUGUUGGUUCAGAUUAAGCGCUAAAUAAGGACAUGACACAUGCGAAUCAUACGUUUAUUAUUGAUAAGAUAAUAAAUAUGUGGUGUAAACGUGAGUAAUUUUAUUAGGAAUUAAUGAACUAUAGAAUAAGCUAAAUACUUAAUAUAUUAUUAUAUAAAAAUAAUUUAUAUAAUAAAAAGGAUAUAUAUAUAAUAUAUAUUUAUCUAUAGUCAAGCCAAUAAUGGUUUAGGUAGUAGGUUUAUUAAGAGUUAAACCUAGCCAACGAUCCAUAAUCGAUAAUGAAAGUUAGAACGAUCACGUUGACUCUGAAAUAUAGUCAAUAUCUAUAAGAUACAGCAGUGAGGAAUAUUGGACAAUGAUCGAAAGAUUGAUCCAGUUACUUAUUAGGAUGAUAUAUAAAAAUAUUUUAUUUUAUUUAGUUCCGGGGCCCGGCCACGGGAGCCGGAACCCCGAAAGGAGAAAUAUUAAAUAUUUAUAAUAAUAAUAAUAAUAAUAUAUAUAUAUAAAUUGAUUAAAAAUAAAAUCCAUAAAUAAUUAAAAUAAUGAUAUUAAUUACCAUAUAUAUUUUAUAUGGAUAUAUAUAUUAAUAAUAAUAUUAAUUUAUUAUUAUUAAUAAUAUAUUUUAAUAGUCCUGACUAAUAUUUGUGCCAGCAGUCGCGGUAACACAAAGAGGGCGAGCGUUAAUCAUAAUGGUUUAAAGGAUCCGUAGAAUGAAUUAUAUAUUAUAAUUUAGAGUUAAUAAAAUUAAUUAAAGAAUUAUAAUAGUAAAGAUGAAAUAAUAAUAAUAAUUAUAAGACUAAUAUAUGUGAAAAUAUUAAUUAAAUAUUAACUGACAUUGAGGGAUUAAAACUAGAGUAGCGAAACGGAUUCGAUACCCGUGUAGUUCUAGUAGUAAACUAUGAAUACAAUUAUUUAUAAUAUAUAUUAUAUAUAAAUAAUAAAUGAAAAUGAAAGUAUUCCACCUGAAGAGUACGUUAGCAAUAAUGAAACUCAAAACAAUAGACGGUUACAGACUUAAGCAGUGGAGCAUGUUAUUUAAUUCGAUAAUCCACGACUAACCUUACCAUAUUUUGAAUAUUAUAAUAAUUAUUAUAAUUAUUAUAUUACAGGCGUUACAUUGUUGUCUUUAGUUCGUGCUGCAAAGUUUUAGAUUAAGUUCAUAAACGAACAAAACUCCAUAUAUAUAAUUUUAAUUAUAUAUAAUUUUAUAUUAUUUAUUAAUAUAAAGAAAGGAAUUAAGACAAAUCAUAAUGAUCCUUAUAAUAUGGGUAAUAGACGUGCUAUAAUAAAAUGAUAAUAAAAUUAUAUAAAAUAUAUUUAAUUAUAUUUAAUUAAUAAUAUAAAACAUUUUAAUUUUUAAUAUAUUUUUUUAUUAUAUAUUAAUAUGAAUUAUAAUCUGAAAUUCGAUUAUAUGAAAAAAGAAUUGCUAGUAAUACGUAAAUUAGUAUGUUACGGUGAAUAUUCUAACUGUUUCGCACUAAUCACUCAUCACGCGUUGAAACAUAUUAUUAUCUUAUUAUUUAUAUAAUAUUUUUUAAUAAUUAUUAAUAUUAUUAAUUUUUAUUUAUUUAUAUCAGAAAUAAUAUGAAUUAAUGCGAAGUUGAAAUACAGUUACCGUAGGGGAACCUGCGGUGGGCUUAUAAAUAUC